Molecule: long non-coding RNA, 481 nt
Organism: Melopsittacus undulatus (budgerigar)
Lineage: Eukaryota; Metazoa; Chordata; Aves; Psittaciformes; Psittaculidae
Exons: 2
Source: RefSeq, a predicted model, not a curated record
GCCAGAUGCCACGUCCUGCUGAGCCAAGAGCAAGCAAUGGCAAUGGGGGUGAAUCUCAAGACCAUGCUGCCUUUUGGAUGCAUGGCAAAGGCAGGAGCCUGGAUGCUUCUCAGGUGGGUGCCCUCUAAUUGAGCCAAAUGAAGAGCCCUAUUAAUUCCAUGCAGGGGAUGCGGCAGCAGCACCGGCUUGGGAAUCCUUCCAUCACCUCCUGCCUGAUCCCGGUGUCCGGAGUGGGGGACAAGGAAACUGGCAUUGAAGGGGGGGGAAUUAUUACCCUUUGCUGUGAUUAAUGCACCCGCCCCAUUGGAGGGCAGAGUCCAGAGGCACCUUACAGGAACAUGGGUUAUCCUGGCACAAACCCCCAGGGCUAUCCAAGGUCGGUGGUUACAGACUGAGAUUUGCUUUGCUGUUACUUCUGAGCACAUUUCAUUUUGAAUAAUUUAAACUCUCUUUUCCAAGAUAUUAAAGUUAAGCACUUGAA